UACGGAGGGUGCAAACGUUGCUCGGAAUCAUUGGGCGUAAAGCGCACGUAGGCGGUUCGUUAAGUCGGAUGUGAAAGCCCUGGGCUCAACCCAGGAAGAGCAUUCGAAACUGGCGGACUAGAGUAUGGAAGAGGGUCGCGGAAUUCCCGGUGUAGAGGUGAAAUUCGUAGAUAUCGGGAGGAACACCAGUGGCGAAGGCGGCGACCUGGGCCAAUACUGACGCUGAGGUGCGAAAGCGUGGGGAGCAAACAGG
Molecule: ribosomal RNA, 253 nt
Filed under: uncultured bacterium
Lineage: Bacteria
Description: partial 16S ribosomal RNA
Rfam family: Bacterial small subunit ribosomal RNA
Source: RNAcentral